RNAcentral lists this unclassified non-coding RNA (259 nucleotides) under Hevea brasiliensis (rubber tree). The record is from RNAcentral. Lineage: Eukaryota; Viridiplantae; Streptophyta; Magnoliopsida; Malpighiales; Euphorbiaceae.
UUCAAUCUUUACUUGGGUUUCUUUUGAGAGACCAAACAUACAAGCAGGCAGGAACCAUGGGGAGAGGUUCAUAGGGCUGAUAAUCCAAGUAAAAUUAUAACCUAGAAAGCAUACUGAUUAGCUUCAUGUCUCCAGCUUUGGUGAACUCAGUUCCACAGUGAUACAUCUACUCAUCUUGCCAUUACAACCACCUUUUGAAUAAAGGUAACAUAACAAAAGCUUCUAACAUGAACAGGAUCUCUGUAUAACAAAAUUUCAG